ACUACGGGAGGCAGCAGUGAGGAAUAUUGGUCAAUGGCCGGAAGGCUGAACCAGCCAUGCCGCGUGAAGGGCAGCGGCCUAAGGGCGUUAAACUUCUUUUGUGCGGGAGCAAGAAUGGGCACGUGUGGCCAGACGAGAGUACCGUACGAAUAAGCAGCGGCGAACUCCGGGCCAGAAGCCGCGGUAAUACGGAGGAUGCGAGCGUUAUCCGGAUUGAUUGGGGUUAAAGGGGGCGGAGGUGGUUACUUAAGUCAGCGGUGAAGGUUUGUGGGUCAACCCUAAAAUUGCCGUUGAAACUGGGUGACUUGAGUAUAUUUGCGGUAGGCGGAAUGCGUGGUGUAGCGGUGAAAUGCAUAGCUAUCACGCAGAACUCCGAUUGCGCCGGCAGCUUACUAAACUAUAACUGACACUGAAGCACGAAAGCGUGGGGAUCAAACAGGAUUAGAUACCCCAGUAGUC
RNAcentral lists this ribosomal RNA (459 nucleotides) under uncultured bacterium. RNAcentral's name for it is "partial 16S ribosomal RNA". It matches the Rfam family "Bacterial small subunit ribosomal RNA", at positions 338 to 795 of the family's 1533-position model. The record is from RNAcentral.